UUUGAGAGUUUUGAUCCUGGCUGGCUCAGGACGAACGCUGGCGGCGUGCCUAAUACAUGCAAGUCGAGCGCGGGAAGCGAGCUGAUCCCUUCGGGGUGACGCUCGUGGAACGAGCGGCGGACGGGUGAGUAACACGUGGGCAACCUGCCUGUAAGAUCGGGAUAACUCCGGGAAACCGGGGCUAAUACCGGGUAAUACUUUCUUUCGCAUGAAGGAAAGUUGAAAGAUGGCUUCUCGCUAUCACUUACAGAUGGGCCCGCGGCGCAUUAGCUAGUUGGUGAGGUAACGGCUCACCAAGGCGACGAUGCGUAGCCGACCUGAGAGGGUGAUCGGCCACACUGGGACUGAGACACGGCCCAGACUCCUACGGGAGGCAGCAGUAGGGAAUCUUCCGCAAUGGACGAAAGUCUGACGGAGCAACGCCGCGUGAACGAUGAAGGUCUUCGGAUCGUAAAGUUCUGUUGUUAGGGAAGAACAAGUACCGUGCGAAUAGAGCGGUACCUUGACGGUACCUAACGAGGAAGCCCCGGCUAACUACGUGCCAGCAGCCGCGGUAAUACGUAGGGGGCAAGCGUUGUCCGGAAUUAUUGGGCGUAAAGCGCGCGCAGGCGGUUCCUUAAGUCUGAUGUGAAAGCCCACGGCUCAACCGUGGAGGGUCAUUGGAAACUGGGGAACUUGAGGACAGAAGAGGAGAGUGGAAUUCCACGUGUAGCGGUGAAAUGCGUAGAUAUGUGGAGGAACACCAGUGGCGAAGGCGACUCUCUGGUCUGUUUCUGACGCUGAGGUGCGAAAGCGUGGGAGCAAACAGGAUAGAUACCCUGGUAUCCCACGCCCGAAACGAUGAGUGCUAGGUGUUAGGGGCUUCCACCCCUUGCGCUGA
This 880-nucleotide ribosomal RNA is filed under the name Halobacillus sp. RNAcentral's name for it is "bacterial SSU rRNA". It matches the Rfam family "Bacterial small subunit ribosomal RNA", at positions 1 to 849 of the family's 1533-position model. Lineage: Bacteria; Bacillati; Bacillota; Bacilli; Caryophanales; Bacillaceae. The record is from RNAcentral.